This 1532-nucleotide long non-coding RNA is filed under the name Homo sapiens (human). RNAcentral describes it as "HSALNT0276417". Lineage: Eukaryota; Metazoa; Chordata; Mammalia; Primates; Hominidae. The record is from RNAcentral.
AAAUUAAGUUUUAUUAGGACAGCCUAUGACUGUUUUCAUGUUGUAACAGCAGAGUUGAGUAGUUGCAACAGAGACUGUAUGAUGUGCAAAGCCUAAAAUAUUUAUGAUCUGGCUCUUUGCAGAAAGCAUCUAUGGACCCCUGCUUUAACUAAUACAACCAGCAUUUGACAACACCAGAACCAGUCUAGGUUCUUCUCCUGGUUUCCAAUACUGGUUUCUUUGAGCAGAUCAGCGCCUCAUGCUGACUUCUUGCUCUGACUUGGUUAUGGUGUACUCUGCCCCUUUGGCCCCAUUCCUUGGGCCCAAAUAGUCUUUGUAAAUUAGGCCCAGAGACUUAAAUAAAGUGGCAAUCAUUCUUCAGCCUCCCCAGUUGUGAGCUCUGAUCUUCCAAAUCAUCUAGUCUAAGUCCUCAACUGUUCAGAUAUGGAAACUGACACACACAGAGAGAGGAGUAGAUUUUGCCAGGCUCACUGAACCAGCCAGUGGUUGAGCAGUCCCACAAAGAAAGUGUGGGGGCAAAUAAACUGCUUCCUGGAUAAAAACAGCUAAUGUUUAUUGUAUGCUUGCUUCGGGCUAGGUACCCCUUCAGUCUUUCCAACAAACCUCAAAGGUGUAUACUGCUGUUAUCAUCAUCAUCCCUCUCAUUUUACAGAUGGAGAAACCGGGGCACGGAGAGAAUUUAAGUUGCCCAAGGUCUGCUGUGUUGAUGAAACUAGAUUGAGCACAGCAGUAUUGAUAUAGUUUGUAUACUUGUCCCUGCUCAAAUCUCAUGUUGAAUUGUAAAUCCCCAAUGCUGGAGAUGGGAACUGGUGGGAGGUGUUGGGGUCAUGGUGCAGAUUCCUCAUGGCUUGAUGCUGUCUUUGUGAUAAUGAGUGAGUUCUCACAAGACCUGGUCACUUAAAAGUGUGUAGCAUCUCCCCCUCAUUCUCUCUCUUGCUCUGGCCAUGUGACAUGCUUACUCUCCCUUCACCUUCUGCCAUUAUUGUAAGCUUCCUGAGGCUUCCUCCACUGAGCAGAUGCCAGCACCAUGCUUCCUGCACAGCCUGUGGAACUGUGAGCCAAUUAAGCCUCUUUAUAAAUUACACAGUCUCAGUCAUUUCUUUAUAGCAAUGCAAGAACAGCCUAACCCAAGAAUCAGUUCAGAACCACAUUCUUGUUGACUCCACAGUGCCAUAUUGGUCUGUCAUUCUUGUCCACUUUGGGCUUUAAAACUCCCCCCUUAUCAGCAAUGAUAGAAAGAAGAGACUUAGGUGUAUAGGGUAGUCUUCUUUUAGCCCCUUCUCUUGUGCCCCAUUUCCCUAUGAUCCUCCAAGCCCAGAACAAUUCAUCAAUUUUGUUUGCAUAUCCAACUUGAGACACUGUCAUUUCAUUAACUCAAGUGAGGGGCUCUUCAUACAAGGUUGAGCUUCAAUAAUUCUCUUUAAAGUUCCAGAGAAAUGUAUGCUUAAUUAUAUUUGCAUAUGAAAAAUAGGGUCUAAUUAGUUUGAUUGAUUAUUAUUUUAACCCUAAUGGCAUUUUGAGUAUCUGUCCCA